RNAcentral lists this ribosomal RNA (514 nucleotides) under uncultured bacterium. RNAcentral's name for it is "bacterial SSU rRNA". It matches the Rfam family "Bacterial small subunit ribosomal RNA", at positions 9 to 517 of the family's 1533-position model. The record is from RNAcentral.
GAGUUUGAUCUUGGCUCAGAUUGAACGCUGGCGGCAGGCCUAACACAUGCAAGUCGAGCGGUAGAGAGAAGCUUGCUUCUCUUGAGAGCGGCGGACGGGUGAGUAAUGCCUAGGAAUCUGCCUGGUAGUGGGGGAUAACGCUCGGAAACGGACGCUAAUACCGCAUACGUCCUACGGGAGAAAGCAGGGGACCUUCGGGCCUUGCGCUAUCAGAUGAGCCUAGGUCGGAUUAGCUAGUUGGUGAGGUAAUGGCUCACCAAGGCGACGAUCCGUAACUGGUCUGAGAGGAUGAUCAGUCACACUGGAACUGAGACACGGUCCAGACUCCUACGGGAGGCAGCAGUGGGGAAUAUUGGACAAUGGGCGAAAGCCUGAUCCAGCCAUGCCGCGUGUGUGAAGAAGGUCUUCGGAUUGUAAAGCACUUUAAGUUGGGAGGAAGGGCAGUAAAUUAAUACUUUAGCUGUUUUGACGUUACCGACAGAAUAAGCACCGGCUAACUCUGUGCCAGCCGCCG